AGACUUUCCUCGCAAGGGAGAUACCAGGAUCACGAAGGUGGUCUUCCCAGCGAGAGGCUUAUCCAUGGCACGGAGGGUCAGUGGACCCUAGCGAUUUCCCCAAAUGCUCCAAAAGGGACACAUAAUUAGUGGUAGUGGGGGGGAAGCAUCAUGCUCUCCCACG
RNAcentral lists this small nuclear RNA (163 nucleotides) under Echinops telfairi (small Madagascar hedgehog). RNAcentral's name for it is "U1 spliceosomal RNA (ENSETEG00000022951.1)". It matches the Rfam family "U1 spliceosomal RNA". From Rfam's summary of the family: U1 is a small nuclear RNA (snRNA) component of the spliceosome (involved in pre-mRNA splicing). Its 5' end forms complementary base pairs with the 5' splice junction, thus defining the 5' donor site of an intron. There are significant differences in sequence and secondary structure between metazoan and yeast U1 snRNAs, the latter being much longer (568 nucleotides as compared to 164 nucleotides in human). The record is from RNAcentral. Lineage: Eukaryota; Metazoa; Chordata; Mammalia; Afrosoricida; Tenrecidae.